Molecule: ribosomal RNA, 253 nt
Filed under: uncultured bacterium
Lineage: Bacteria
Description: partial 16S ribosomal RNA
Rfam family: Bacterial small subunit ribosomal RNA
Source: RNAcentral
UACGGGGGGGGCAAGCGUUGUUCGGAAUUACUGGGCGUAAAGGGCUGGCAGGCGGCCAACUAAGUCGGAUGUGAAAUCCCCAGGCUUAACCUGGGAACUGCAUCCGAUACUGGUCGGCUUGAAUCCGGGAGAGGGAUGCAGAAUUCCAGGUGUAGCGGUGAAAUGCGUAGAUAUCUGGAGGAAUACCGGUGGCGAAGGCGGCAUCCUGGACCGGCAUUGACGCUGAACAGCGAAAGCUAGGGGAGCAAACGGG